RNAcentral lists this long non-coding RNA (1109 nucleotides) under Brassica rapa (field mustard). Its description in RNAcentral is "long non-coding RNA (BRAP_LNC002255)". The record is from RNAcentral. Lineage: Eukaryota; Viridiplantae; Streptophyta; Magnoliopsida; Brassicales; Brassicaceae.
GGCGAAUAAGAAACAGAGGAAGGAGAUCCUGCGGGAGACGAAGAUGGGGAUCCGGCGGAAGAAGAUUUUGGUGCCAUUGAUCCUGACGGUGAAUAACCCGGUGCAUACGACGGAGGAGCUGGCGGAGAAGUCACCGGAGAAGUUGCCGGAGAAACAGGGGAAGAUGAUUUAGGUGACAUUGAUCCCGGCGGUGAAGAACCCGGUGCAUACGACGGAGGAGCUGGCGGAGAAGUUGCCGGAGAACCAGCGGAGGAAGAUUUAGGUGGCAUUGAACCCGGCGGAGAAGUCACCGGAGAAGACGACGGAGAACCAGGGGAAGAUGAUUUAGGUGACAUUGAUCCCGGCGGAGAAGAUGACGGAGAACCAGGGAAUGAGGAUUUAGGUGGCAUUGAUCCCGGCGGAGAAGUCAUCGGAGCAGAGGACGGAGAACCAGGGGAAGAGGAUUUAGGUGGCAUAGGUGCGGGUGGAGAAGUCGACGGAGACAUAUGAGAGGAAGAUUUAGGUGCCAUUGAACCUGGUGGAGAAGUUGCCGGAGACUUAGCGGAGGAUGAUUUAGGUGGCAUUGAUCCCGGCGGAGAAGUCACUGGAGAAGAAGACGGAGAAACAGGGGAAGAUGAUUUAGGUGGUGUAUGUGCCGGUGGAGACGUCGCCGGAGAAACAGGGGAUGAAGAUGAUUUAGGUGGCAUUGUUCCCGGUGGAGAAGUCACCGGAGAAACAGGGGAAGUAGAUUUAGGUGGCAUAGGUGCCGGUGGAGAAGUCGCCGGAGAAACAUGGGAAGAAGACUUAGGUGGCAUUGAUCCCGGCGGAGAAGUCACCGGAGCAGAAGACGGAGAAACAGGGGAAGAAGAUUUAGGUGGCGUAGGUGCGGGUGGAGAAGUCGCCGGAGAAACAGGGGAAGAGGAUUUAGGUGGUGUGUGUGCGGGUGGAGAAGUGGCCGGAGAAACAUGGGAAGAAGACUUAGGUGGAAUUGAUCCCGGAGGAGAUUUUCCCGGUGAUGCUGCUUGAGGAGGAGCCGGAGUUCUAACGGACAAGACAACGACAGUAAGCUUUUGUCCCUUCUUACAGUUAUCUUCAUUGCCACUGAUGAAGUAAAAUGGACCAGAGCGUUC